CCUACGGGGGGCAGCAGUGGGGAAUAUUGCACAAUGGAGGAAACUCUGAUGCAGCAACGCCGCGUGGAGGAUGACGCAUUUCGGUGUGUAAACUCCUUUUAUAAGGGAAGAUAAUGACGGUACCUUAUGAAUAAGCACCGGCUAACUCCGUGCCAGCAGCCGCGGUAAUACGGAGGGUGCAAGCGUUACUCGGAAUCACUGGGCGUAAAGGAUGCGUAGGCUGUAAUAUAAGUCAGGAGUGAAAUCCAACGGCUCAACCGUUGAACUGCUCUUGAAACUGUUUUACUAGAAUAUGGGAGAGGUAGAUGGAAUUGGUGGUGUAGGGGUAAAAUCCGUAGAUAUCACCAGGAAUACCGAUUGCGAAGGCGAUCUACUGGAACAUUAUUGACGCUGAGGCAUGAAAGCGUGGGGAGCAAACAGGCUUAGAUACCCCAGUAGUC
This 440-nucleotide ribosomal RNA is filed under the name uncultured Sulfurospirillum sp. RNAcentral describes it as "bacterial SSU rRNA". It matches the Rfam family "Bacterial small subunit ribosomal RNA", at positions 338 to 795 of the family's 1533-position model. The record is from RNAcentral. Lineage: Bacteria; Pseudomonadati; Campylobacterota; Epsilonproteobacteria; Campylobacterales; Sulfurospirillaceae.